GACGAACGCUGGCGGCGUGCCUAAUACAUGCAAGUUGAGCGAUGAAGAUUGGUGCUUGCACCAAUUUGAAGAGCAGCGAACGGGUGAGUAACGCGUGGGGAAUCUGCCUUUGAGCGGGGGACAACAUUUGGAAACGAAUGCUAAUACCGCAUAACAACUUUAAACAUAAGUUUUAAGUUUGAAAGAUGCAAUUGCAUCACUCAAAGAUGAUCCCGCGUUGUAUUAGCUAGUUGGUGAGGUAAAGGCUCACCAAGGCGAUGAUACAUAGCCGACCUGGGAGGGUGAUCGGCCACAUUGGGACUGAGACACGGCCCAAACUCCUACGGGAGGCAGCAGUAGGGAAUCUUCGGCGAUGGACGAAAGUCGGACCGAGCAACGCCGCGUGAGUGAAGAAGGUUUUCGGAUCGUAAAACUCUGUUGGUAGAGAAGAACGUUGGUGAGAGUGGAAAGCUCAUCAAGUGACGGUAACUACCCAGAAAGGGACGGCUAACUACGUG
RNAcentral lists this ribosomal RNA (497 nucleotides) under uncultured bacterium. Its description in RNAcentral is "partial 16S ribosomal RNA". It matches the Rfam family "Bacterial small subunit ribosomal RNA", at positions 28 to 507 of the family's 1533-position model. The record is from RNAcentral.